This 363-nucleotide ribosomal RNA is filed under the name uncultured eukaryote. RNAcentral describes it as "partial 18S ribosomal RNA". It matches the Rfam family "Eukaryotic small subunit ribosomal RNA", at positions 592 to 976 of the family's 1831-position model. The record is from RNAcentral.
CAAAAGCGUAUAUUAAAGUUGUUGCAGUUAAAAAGCUCGUAGUUGAACCUUGGGCUUGGCUGGCCGGUCCAUCUUUUUUGAUGCGUACUGGACCAGCCGAGCCUUUCCUUCUGGCUAGCCUUUUGGCGAACCAGGACUUUUACUUUGAAAAAAUUAGAGUGUUCAAAGCAGGCCUUUGCUCGAAUAUAUUAGCAUGGAAUAAUAGAAUAGGACGUUAUGGUUCUAUUUUGUUGGUUUCUAGGACCAUCGUAAUGAUUAAUAGGGACGGUCGGGGGUAUCAGUAUUCAGUUGUCAGAGGUGAAAUUCUUGGAUUUACUGAAGACUAACUACUGCGAAAGCAUUUACCAAGGACGUUUUCAUUAA